RNAcentral lists this long non-coding RNA (116 nucleotides) under Salmo trutta (river trout). Its description in RNAcentral is "lncRNA (ENSSTUG00000048359.1)". The record is from RNAcentral. Lineage: Eukaryota; Metazoa; Chordata; Actinopteri; Salmoniformes; Salmonidae.
UCCAGUGGCAGUGCCAAGAAGACUUCCGUGGAGGAGGACAGCAGCAUUGAGUCUUCUCAGACACCCGGGUGUGGUUUCCGGGAAAGGGGAUCUAUCAUUGAGCAGCUGGAGAAGGA